UGGGGAAUAUUGGACAAUGGGCGCAAGCCUGAUCCAGCAACGCCGCGUGAAUGAUGAAGGCCUUCGGGUCGUAAAGUUCUUUUGGCAGGGAAGAAAAUGACGGUACCUGCAGAAUAAGCUCCGGCUAACUUCGUGCCAGCAGCCGCGGUAAUACGAAGGGGGCUAGCGUUGUUCGGAAUUACUGGGCGUAAAGCGUGCGUAGGUUGUUAUUCAAGUUAGUGGUGAAAGCCCAGAGCUUAACUCUGGAACUGCCAUUAAAACUGAAUAGCUAGAGAGUGUUAGAGGUAAGUGGAAUUCCUAGUGUAGGAGUGAAAUCCGUAGAUAUUAGGAGGAACAUCAAUGGCGAAGGCAGCUUACUGGGUCACAUCUGACACUGAGGCACGAAAGCGUGGGUAGCAAA
Molecule: ribosomal RNA, 400 nt
Filed under: uncultured bacterium
Lineage: Bacteria
Description: bacterial SSU rRNA
Rfam family: Bacterial small subunit ribosomal RNA
Source: RNAcentral